This 237-nucleotide unclassified non-coding RNA is filed under the name uncultured fungus. RNAcentral describes it as "sequence contains ITS1, 5.8S rRNA gene". The stretch from base 189 to 237 matches the Rfam family "5.8S ribosomal RNA", at positions 1 to 49 of the family's 154-position model. The record is from RNAcentral. Lineage: Eukaryota; Fungi.
UCUCCGUUGGUGAACCAGCGGAGGGAUCAUUACAGAGUUAUCUAACUCCCAAACCCAUGUGAACUUACCAGUGUUGCCUCGGCGGGUCUCUGACCUCCGAAAGGUGGUUAGGGGUACCACCCGCCGAAGGUUAUUACCAAACUCUUGAAUUACUUUGUAAUCUGAGUGUUAUUUUAAAAAUAAGUUAAAACUUUCAACAACGGAUCUCUUGGUUCUGGCAUCGAUGAAGAACGCAGC